CCAAGCAUCCCCCCUCCGAGCCUUUAUCCCCGACUCAAGUCCCCACGCCACCGCAUUCCCCGUCCUCCCACCAGGUGUCCCCACGUCCCCGCAUCCCCGCCUCGCUCCCAUGCUGCCCCGCUCUUCUUCCCCGCCCCGCUCCGCCGAUGGCUCCUCUGGCCGAUCUGUACCACCUGACGAUGGCGUACGCGUUGUGGCGGACGGGGAGGCACCGGGACCCCGCGGCAGCCGAGCUCUUCUUCCGUCGGGAACCUUUCGGUGCCGCCUUCGCUGUGGGAGCGGGGCUGGGCCAGGCUCUGCGCAGCCUCGGGGCUCUUCGCUUCUCGGCUGCGGACAUCGCCUACUUGCGCUCGGUGCUGCCCAGCACGACGGAGGAUGCUUUCUUUGAUUACCUCAGCACCGUGGAUGCCUCUGAGGUGACCGUCACAUCCGUGCCUGAAGGCUCCAUUGUCUUCUCCAGGGUCCCGCUCCUACAGGUGAAGGGACCGCUGCUGGUGGUGCAACUGCUGGAGACCACCUUGCUGUGCUUGGUCAGCUACGCCAGCCUGGUGGCCACCAAUGCCGCUCGAUUCCGCCUUCUUGCUGGCCCAGAGAUGAAGCUGAUGGAGUUGGGUCUACGUCGUGCCCAGGGUCCGGAUGGUGGACUUUCUGCCUCCAAGUAUUCCUAUAUUGGAGGCUUUGACUACACCAGCAACGUCCUGGCAGGCAAGCUCUAUGGCAUCCCAGUGCGUGGCACCGUCGCCCAUUCCUUCAUCAUGUCCUUCAGGUCGCUGGAGGAGGUGCAGCCCAGAGUCCUGUCACCGCUGGAAGGUGGGGAGCCCAUGGAUCUCCCAUCCCUGGCUGAGUCAUGGCUGCAGCGUGUGUGUGAGCUGCUGGGGACCCCCAGUGACAAACCCAACCGCGGUGAGCUGGCCGCCUUCGUGUCCUACGCCAUCGCCUUUCCACAGGAUUUCCAGGGGCUGCUGGACACUUACUGCGUCAUGAGGAGCGGUCUGCCCAAUUUCUGCGCUGUAGCACUGGCCCUACACCAGUUAGGGUACCGCGCCAUCGGGGUGCGCCUGGAUAGCGGGGACCUCAUCCAGCAGUCCAAGGACACCCGGAGGGUGCUCCGAGCCUGCGGUGCUCACUUCCAGGUGCCUUGGUUUGGGAGCAUCCCCAUAGCCGUGAGCAACGACAUCAGCGAACAGAGCCUGGAGGACUUUAUCCGAGAGGGGAGUGAGAUUGACAUGGUUGGCGUGGGGACAAACCUGGUGACGUGUCCCCUACAGCCAUCGCUGGGCUGUGUUUACAAGCUGGUGGAGGUUAAUGGCUCCCCGUGCCUGAAGUUCACAGAGGAGGAAGAGAAGAUGACUAUCCCAGGGAUUAAGGCAAUAUAUCGGCUCUACGAUGCUGCUGGUCAUCCCUUCAUGGACCUCAUGGCCCUGGAGAAUGAGCCCUCACCUAGUGUGGGGCAGGAGUUGGUGGUCCACAUCCUAGGGAGGAGGGGAGAGGCCACCAAGGUCAGGCCGAGUGCUGUGGAGCCCCUCCAUCGCAUGUACUUGAGAGAUGGACAGGUGUAUGAGGAGCUGCCCAGCUUGCAAGAGGUACGGAGCCAUGCACAAGCAUCCCUCAACCUGCUCAGCCCUGUGCACCGCCAGCUCCAUGACCCCCAGCCCUACCUGGUGGCAAUGACAGAGAAGCUGCACCUCCUCUUUGCAGAGCUGCAGCACGCUAGCCAGUGAGGGGUACCCCAAAUCACCCCCCCAGCACUGAGACCAGCACUUCUGCUCUUUGGAAGACCAGAUCUUUGCAAUGCUUGUUCAUGGCAAAAAAAAAAAAAAAAAAAAAAAAAAACAAAAGCAAAAUACAAUCAAGUCUGAUCGUGUCCCACUUAAAAAAACAGCCAAGAGGAUGGUGCUGCUGGUAGGGUUGUAAGGCACUGUAUCUCAUCACUUUCAGAGAGAAGAAAACACUUCUUGCUAUUAAACUUUGUCUGAGAAGAGACUGCCUUGAGUUCUUGCAACAACUCUACAACAAAGAGUGACAUUAAACAGGCAAGACAGUGAGACAGCAGCAUGCUCCAUCCCAUCACCACCUCUCCACGGCCACAAAGGAGAGCCCACGGAAUCAACCAUCAGAUCUCAAGUUCCUUGGAAUGGCCUGCUGAUAAUCUAUCACCACCUCUUCCAUCCGUGAGAGUCCUCACACUGCUUUGGUAUCAGGCAUUCAUGAUGAGUGCAUUAAGGCUCCCUAUACAAAUGUUAGCUCACCCAAUGGUUGUUGAGAUUGGAAGGCACCUCUUGAUGUCCUCUGGUCCAACCUCUGCUCAAACAGGGACACCAGGAGCAAAUUCCUGAGGAUUGUAGCCAUGGGAUUAUUGAAGAACUUGAAGGAAACUCCACAAUUCUCAACGACUGAUACCAACAUUCUGCCACAGCAGUGCUUCCUGAUGGGCACAGCAAGCUCCUGAGUUCCUCCAAGUCCUACAGCAUCUUCAUGGCCUUCCAUUGGACUCUUUCCAGUCUGUCCCUGUCUCUUCUUAAACCACAGGGCCCAGAACUGGCUCAUGGUUGACUUCCUGAGGUUCAAUUGCUCAGCAAAGGCAAACUCCAGACCCAAAAGACUGGAGCAGCAAAUCUGACUAUUGAAAACUCUGAGCAACUGACCGAGACCUCAGUGCAACAUCUGGGAGCCAAAUUAGACAGCAGUGAUCUCAACACAGUGUGUAUUAUUAAUGGGCUCAUUACACUCCAUCCAUGCCUUGAAGCCUCCAUCCAUCCUUUGAAGCGACCAUAUACAGAUGUGAGGGAUGAAAGCUGAUACAAGCUGUCAAGAUGAGAUCCACUGAGCAUCACAACCCUUCUUUAAGCAAAAAAAAGAACCCGAUCCCCACUAAACUGCUGUGUGGCCCAAGGCAAAGGGGUGAUGGGACGAAAUUACUGCACCCUGUGUUAAAAGGAAAAUAGGGCAGGAAGCAGGUUGUGGCUGUGGCUCUUGGAUGUAUUCCUCUAGGGCUUUUGUGCCAUCCAGAACCUGGGUAAAAUGACUCACAGCACAGAAUCCCAAAACACCUUCCUGCUGCCAUGACAGCAUGUGCUUAAUGGCAGACAACCCACAGUUUGCAAAUGUACAUUAUUUGACUUAAAGAAUACCUGUUCCCACACAUAAA
This is an RNA transcript of Tympanuchus pallidicinctus (lesser prairie-chicken), 3148 nucleotides long. It is a transcript of the gene named nicotinate phosphoribosyltransferase, with no coding region annotated. NCBI's taxonomy places the organism in Eukaryota, Metazoa, Chordata, Aves, Galliformes, Phasianidae. The transcript has 14 exons. The record is from RefSeq and is a predicted model, not a curated record.